AACAUAACGAAAGGGUAGUGAAUUUGCCCACAGUGUAUUGUUAAGUUUUUGAAAAUUUUCAAAGCAUUUUCCCAAAAUAUGUGUCAAAAUAAAAUUUGUCACCAAAAAUCAUUCCAUUAGCUGAAACAGAGAAAGUUGUGGCCAAAAUAAGACUCAACUUUACCCCCUAGUGGACGAAAACGUCCCCAACAACACAUAAGGGUUAAAUUGAUUAUUUGAUUAACAAUUUAAUUAGAUUUAAGUUAUUUAUUUACGACAUCUUUAUGUUUAGCCUAUGUAAAUUCUGCGUGUUUUAACGAGCGCGCGCUGAACAUUGGAGUAGCGUUCAUUCAGAUACAAACACCGGAGCGGAGGGAGUUGCCAUGGAAACGGGGCGACCGACAACACUGGCAAGCUGCAAGCUCCGUUUCUUGCUGCUGUUUUCACUGCUUUCGAAAUGGUGUAGUGUUUUCGAAGUCCGUAAGCAUCUUAACCGUUAUCAGAGGAGAUUCUUCCGUGUUUGAUGUUCUUCUGCAUCCCAGAGUCUGAGCAAGCCUCCUGUCCAACAACAUCUCCAAGACACACUGAACCAUACGACUAGCAGGGAAAAACACAUCGUGGACCAAAGAGGAAACUGACAACACACAGACAGACAAGACAGAGAAGGUUGCUUCUGGAAGGAUCUUAUCAGCAAAUCUACUUCACAGCACAUCAGUGAAAGCAGUUGACAGUUACGGAUGGGUGUGUUGGAUCAGGGUCAGAUCUGAAUUCUGAUGGUUUUCUGGGAUGACAGUUGAAGAUGAUCAGAACAUCAGAUGUUGGUCUGGACAGCUGUACCUACAGUACACCACACUGACCUCUCUGCUUUUGCAUGGAUAACUGACUUACUACCAUGUUCUGUGAAGGUAUUAUUAUAGCAAACCUGAGCACCUGUGACAGUGGAAUAGUUGUAAUGAAUAGUCACACAUGCAUAUUGGUAAAUUUAAAGUUACAGAUAAUUUUUUUUAGUACUAGCAAUAUUUUUAUUUUUAUUUUUUAUUUUUUAUUAAUUCUCUCCAGCAAACACAACACAACAGUUACACCAUUUCGAAUUCUGAGGUGCACAAAUCCUAUUCUACAAAUAAGAGAACAACAGUAUAAAAGUGCUCAGUUUAGCCUCUUUCACACUGAGAUUCCGGAUAAAACACGGGUAAUGUGUCCCGGCAAUUGUUCCCGGAUUGUUAGAUUUUGGUUCAUUCACACUGCCAGUGAUAGCGUUCACACACAACCCAUAAAGGUCCCGUAAUGACACGAGACAUCAGGAUGUGAUGUGUAAUGUAUGAGUUAAAAAUGCUAGGCCGCCAAUAAACGGAAGAAGGAGAAGAAGCAAAGCAGAAGUGUUUUCAAUGCUUUAUAAACAUGGCAGCUGAUCAGCUACUAGGGACAUUGUUGUUUAUGUAUAAAGCAUCUUCCACACAGAAAUUCCGGAAAAUACACGGAUAAUGUGUUCCAGGAUCCUUUGAUUGUGGUUCAUUUACACUGGCAGUGAUUUUCUGGAAUCUGUGUGUCACACACAACCCAUAAAGAUCCCGUAAAGACACAUGACAUUACGAUGCGACGUGUUUUGUUUCACUUAAGCUGGCGAACGAUCUCAGCUUUAGCACGGAUAGUGAGGAACUAACUGAUCUCUGCUUCAUUACAGUUUGCACAUAUUUUUUCGUCACGAAUGUUGAUCUGCCGUCAAAACACCCGGUAAAAGAGUCGCAUGAUAACGUGCGUCAUCACUACGACACACCCUUUACGCCAUUGGUUCUGGCUUUUGUUCACACAGAGCUCGUUCCGGGACUGAACCCAGCAAUGUUCCUAGGUCCCCAAACCAGGAUCAGUCCCGGAAUCAAUCCCGGGACGUGUUUGCGUUCACACAGAAGGCACUUUGGCAAUUUUCCAGCAAUUUUUUGGGACCACCGUGCAGUGUGAAAGGGGCUUUAGUCUAGCACAGUACACA
Molecule: long non-coding RNA, 1963 nt
Organism: Cyprinus carpio carpio
Lineage: Eukaryota; Metazoa; Chordata; Actinopteri; Cypriniformes; Cyprinidae
Source: Ensembl